UGGCUCAGGAUGAACGCUAGCGGCAGGCCUAACACAUGCAAGCCGAGGGGUAUUAGGAGCUUGCUUCUGAGAGACCGGCGCACGGGUGAGUAACGCGUAUGCAAUCUACCUUUCACAAGAGAAUAGCCCGGAGAAAUCCGGAUUAAUGCUCUAUAGUUUAUAGAACUGGCAUCGGUUUUAUGAUAAAGAUUUAUCGGUGAAAGAUGAGCAUGCGUCUCAUUAGCUAGUUGGUGUGGUAACGGCAUACCAAGGCAAUGAUGAGUAGGGGUCCUGAGAGGGAGAUCCCCCACACUGGUACUGAGACACGGACCAGACUCCUACGGGAGGCAGCAUUGAGGAAUAUUGGUCAAUGGAGGC
This 357-nucleotide ribosomal RNA is filed under the name uncultured prokaryote. RNAcentral's name for it is "bacterial SSU rRNA". It matches the Rfam family "Bacterial small subunit ribosomal RNA", at positions 20 to 378 of the family's 1533-position model. The record is from RNAcentral.